Molecule: ribosomal RNA, 253 nt
Filed under: uncultured bacterium
Lineage: Bacteria
Description: partial 16S ribosomal RNA
Rfam family: Bacterial small subunit ribosomal RNA
Source: RNAcentral
UACGUAGGGGGCAAGCGUUGUCCGGAUUUACUGGGCGUAAAGAGCGUGUAGGCGGCCAAGCAGGUCCGUUGUGAAAACUGGAGGCUUAACCUCCAGACGUCGACGGAAACCGCGUGGCUAGAGUCCGGAAGAGGAGAGUGGAAUUCCUGGUGUAGCGGUGAAAUGCGCAGAUAUCAGGAAGAACACCAAUGGCGAAGGCAGCUCUCUGGGACGGUACUGACGCUGAGGCGCGAAAGCCAGGGGAGCGAACGGG